Panicum virgatum (switchgrass) is the source of this 1940-nucleotide RNA transcript. RefSeq lists it as uncharacterized. The record is from RefSeq and is a predicted model, not a curated record. Lineage: Eukaryota; Viridiplantae; Streptophyta; Magnoliopsida; Poales; Poaceae. The transcript has 7 exons.
UACAUGAGGAAAGAGAAUGUGCAUAAAAAAUCGAGCCAGCGACUCUUUCAUCCCUCGUCUCACACACACCACGAUGCGCUGAAUCGCAGGCCUCCUCGCCUUCUACCAGCUAUUCUUCCAGCAAUUUCGCUCGGACUCGGAUCCGCUGCGCGCGCAGAGCUCUCUUCUCCCCACCCCGCGGCGCGCAAAUCCUUCCUCUCUCCUCUCCGUUGUGGCCUUCGCGCGAAUCCUCCCCUUUCUCCCGCGUCCACUGCACGCGAAAAUCCUUCCCCAAUCUAGCUGCUCCCGCCCUCGACUCUUCCGAUUUAUUUCUGGAGGCCGCGAAACCAAGGUCUGUUCCUCUUCUCAUCCUUCCUCUUCCCAUCUCUCUUCCCCCGCUCUAUUCAUGUCCGUAUGAUUCAUAGCCAGGUACGUGAUUCAAAGAUCUGAAAUCCAUUUGUCUCUUGUGGUGAUGAGCGGCCGGACAAAGCGAGCGAUGGCUCCGCCACCAAAUCAGACUGGAUCUGCUCCUUCAUAUCAUAUUGGAUCCGCUCCUGCUUCUGCGAAUCAAGUGCCUACUCCGGUUCCUGCAUUUCUUGGUGGUGGUUCUACUAUUCCUAGUACCGGAGGUCAAGCAACAUGGUGGCCUGGACCUUUGCCACAAGCCACAUCUUCCGGAGCCACAUCCACAGUUUGGUAGUUUUAUUUUUUUAUAUGUAAUUCUCUUGCUGCACUAGUUGUCAUUUUAUUAUGCUCAGAAAUAGUUAGUUCACUAGCUAUAUUAGUUUCAUUAGAAGUAACGAUAUGGGUCGCUUGAUUUUCAGUGGUAUGAAUUACUAUCCACCUGGUGGUUUUAUGAGUUUUUUACAAUCUGCCAACCAUUCAUACCUCGUGUUUCGGCAACAUGGCCACCUAUGGGAAAGGAAUCUCAAUUAGCACCACCCAAAAAUGAUUCAGGAAACAAAAAUGCUAAAAAGAGAUUGAAAGACAAAACUCUCAUCAACUUAGAUGAUGGAAACGAUGGUAGGACUGCAAAGCGUCUUGUAUUUGAAUCAGAGGAGGACGUGAGGCUAGUUAGUGCAUUGCUGAUUCACUCGAAUAACCCAAUCAAUGGGAAUUGCAAGAAAAAUGAGAGCAAAUGGAAAAUGAGAAGAGGAGGAAGAAGAAUAUGACAAGUGGAGCCCGCACGUCAGUGAUAAAGGAGAGGGGCUGCAAUGAAAUAUACGUAUUCAUAUAUGCCUGCAGCUGGGCCCAAGUCAUCUCCAUACGUAUUAAGUGACAUUUUUGUGGGAAGCCAAGAAUUGUAAUGAUUCAUACAGGUACCAUGUCGCAAAUGGAUGACAAUGAGUCUGCUGAUUUAUAUCUUCAAGCACUACUCAGCUAUAUAGAUUCAUGACCAAUGAGAGUUGCUGGCACCGGCGUUUGCACGGCGACUGACACCGUCCUGAGCUGCACCAACCUGAGCGCCCUUUCCAUCUGCGGGCGAUCAACAUCGGUCCGUGGGCUGGGUUUAAUCUGGAACAGAUCAGUCAUCAAACAUCGAUCUACAUGAUUUCCUGUAACUGAGACGGUUCACCCCCUGCGGUUAUGCAGUUAUGCAAUCUCUGCUAGCUGGCAUAAUGUUUCCAAAAGCAAUCAAGGUUACUUAUACUAGAAAGGGCUAAACGAAACAAAACAGGGUCUAAAAUAAAUGGCGGGGGCACGGCUGCAAUGUACUAUGCUGCAUGCAGGGGCACCAGCAAGGCGGUUGGGCCUGCUGCAAGGCACUGUAGCUAUUCAGCCCAUCAAGGGAGUGCCAACGUAAGUGUUGCUGCUAUGGUUCAGCCAAUUCUAGCGUUUUUUCUUUUCCAGUUCUUUCUUCUUUUCUGUCGCAAAAAUAUUUCUUAAGAACAUAUUUAUUCAUCGAUUCAUGAAUCAAAUAAUUUAUCUUGAAAAUGUAGAUGAUGAGUCAUUCAAUUUUA